CGGGUUAAGUCCCGCAACGAGCGCAACCCCUGCCCUUAGUUGCCAUCGGGUCACGCCGGGGAACUCUAAGGGGACCGCCCCGGACAACGGGGAGGAAGGUGGGAUGACGUCAAGUCAGCAUGGCCUUUAUGUCCAGGGCUACACACGUGCUACAAUGGUUGGUACAAAGGGUUGCCAAGCCGUGAGGCGGAGCCAAUCUCAAAAAGCCAACCUCAGUUCGGAUUGUAGGCUGCAAUUCGCCUACAUGAAGCUGGAAUUGCUAGUAAUCGCAGAUCAGCUACGCUGCGGUGAAUACGUUCUCGGGCCUU
This 308-nucleotide ribosomal RNA is filed under the name uncultured Holophagae bacterium. RNAcentral describes it as "bacterial SSU rRNA". It matches the Rfam family "Bacterial small subunit ribosomal RNA", at positions 1076 to 1382 of the family's 1533-position model. Lineage: Bacteria; Pseudomonadati; Acidobacteriota; Holophagae. The record is from RNAcentral.